UAGGGAAUCUUCGGCAAUGGACGGAAGUCUGACCGAGCAACGCCGCGUGAGUGAAGAAGGUUUUCGUAUCGUAAAGCUCUGUUGUUAGAGAAGAACGUUGGUAGGAGUGGAAAAUCUACCAAGUGACGGUAACUAACCAGAAAGGGACGGCUAACUACGUGCCAGCAGCCGCGGUAAUACGUAGGUCCCGAGCGUUGUCCGGAUUUAUUGGGCGUAAAGCGAGCGCAGGCGGUUCUUUAAGUCUGAAGUUAAAGGCAGUGGCUUAACCAGUGUACGCUUUGGAAACUGGAGGACUUGAGUGCAGAAGGGGGGAGUGGAAUUCCAUGUGUAGCGGUGAAAUGCGUAGAUAUAUGGAGGAACACCGGUGGCGAAAGCGGCUCUCUGGUCUGUAACUGACGCUGAGGCUCGAAAGCGUGGGGAGCAAACAGG
RNAcentral lists this ribosomal RNA (429 nucleotides) under Bacillota bacterium. RNAcentral describes it as "Firmicutes bacterium partial 16S ribosomal RNA". It matches the Rfam family "Bacterial small subunit ribosomal RNA", at positions 355 to 776 of the family's 1533-position model. Lineage: Bacteria; Bacillati; Bacillota. The record is from RNAcentral.